This 295-nucleotide ribosomal RNA is filed under the name Alkalihalophilus pseudofirmus. RNAcentral's name for it is "Bacillus pseudofirmus partial 23S ribosomal RNA". It matches the Rfam family "Bacterial large subunit ribosomal RNA", at positions 1 to 290 of the family's 2925-position model. Lineage: Bacteria; Bacillati; Bacillota; Bacilli; Caryophanales; Bacillaceae. The record is from RNAcentral.
UUAGGUUAAGCUAGAAAGGGCGCACGGUGAAUGCCUUGGCACUAGGAGCCGAAGAAGGACGCGACGAACAGCGAAAUGCCUCGGGGAGCUGUAAGUAAGCUUUGAUCCGGGGAUAUCCGAAUGGGGGAACCCACCAUCCGUAAUGGGAUGGUACCCAUACCUGAAUACAUAGGGUAUGAGGAGGCAGACCUGGGGAACUGAAACAUCUAAGUACCCAGAGGAAGAGAAAGCAAAUGCGAUUUCCUGAGUAGCGGCGAGCGAAACGGAAUUAGCCCAAACCAAGAGGCUUGCCUCU